UACGUAGGGUGCAAGCGUUGUCCGGAAUUAUUGGGCGUAAAGAGCUCGUAGGCGGUUCGUCACGUCGGCUGUGAAAUCCCGAGGCUCAACCUCGGGUCUGCAGUCGAUACGGGCGGACUGGAGUACUGCAGGGGAGACUGGAAUUCCUGGUGUAGCGGUGAAAUGCGCAGAUAUCAGGAGGAACACCGGUGGCGAAGGCGGGUCUCUGGGCCGAUACUGACGCUGAGGAGCGAAAGCGUGGGGAGCGAACAGG
RNAcentral lists this ribosomal RNA (253 nucleotides) under uncultured bacterium. RNAcentral's name for it is "partial 16S ribosomal RNA". It matches the Rfam family "Bacterial small subunit ribosomal RNA", at positions 524 to 776 of the family's 1533-position model. The record is from RNAcentral.